CUCCAGACUCGCCGCCGUCGCCCUGUGAGACACGGACGCAGCGCAGCAUGGACACUCGGCAGCGGCGGAAUGAAGGCGGGCCGGAGCCGGUGUCCGCAGAGCUGGCGGAGCGGAGGAGGGAGGCUCGGGGCUGCCUGCGGACCCUGUCCCAGCACUCCUACUGGUUCGACAUCUGGGUCUUCCUCCUGUUUGACCUGAUCCUGUUCGCGUUCAUCUACCUGCUGCCCUGAGUCGGUCACAGUAGAUGCCGCUCCGGGUCGUAGCUGAGAUGUAGACGUGUAAUAUUAUUACUAAUCAUGGAAACGUCUUAAGCAGUUGUGGAAAAAAUGCUGCAAAGUGAGAAUGUUUU
Molecule: long non-coding RNA, 349 nt
Organism: Bufo bufo (common toad)
Lineage: Eukaryota; Metazoa; Chordata; Amphibia; Anura; Bufonidae
Exons: 2
Source: RefSeq, a predicted model, not a curated record